AGGAGGAACAGCCCCAGUGGUGGGGCCAGCUCUGGAAACCUGGAUCAGCUUCCUACAGUAACUCUGGAGCUCUCCUCUGCAGGGCCUGGAGGCUCCGGGGCGGG
This 104-nucleotide microRNA precursor is filed under the name Canis lupus familiaris (dog). RNAcentral describes it as "mir-8834 microRNA precursor family". It matches the Rfam family "mir-8834 microRNA precursor family". The record is from Rfam by way of RNAcentral. Lineage: Eukaryota; Metazoa; Chordata; Mammalia; Carnivora; Canidae. RNAcentral also lists the same sequence under 1 other name.